GAUGAAGAACGCAGCGAAAUGCGAUACUUGGUGUGAAUUGCAGAAUCCCGUGAACCAUCGAGUCUUUGAACGCAAGUUGCGCCCGAAGCCAUCAGGUUGAGGGCACGUCUGCCUGGGCGUCACAUAUCGUUGCCCAAUGCCUAUUGCAGUGCAAUAGGAAUUUCUAGGGCGAAUGAUGGCUUCCCGUGAGCGUUGUUGCCUCGCGGUUGGUUGAAAAUCGAGUCCUUGGUAGGGUGUGCCAUGGUAGAUGGUGGUCGAGUUAGAACGAUACCGAUCAUGUGCAUGCUCCCCAAAAUAUGGCCUCUAUGACCCACACGCGUCUUUUGACGCUCAUGACGAGACCUCAGGUCAGGCGGGGCUACCCGCUGAAUUUAAGCAUAUCAAUGAGCGGAGGA
This 395-nucleotide unclassified non-coding RNA is filed under the name soil metagenome. Its description in RNAcentral is "partial contains 5.8S ribosomal RNA, internal transcribed spacer 2, and large subunit ribosomal RNA". The stretch from base 1 to 122 matches the Rfam family "5.8S ribosomal RNA", at positions 35 to 154 of the family's 154-position model. The record is from RNAcentral.